UCUCGUUGAGGUCAUUUCAGGUCUUAAAUCGUGUGAUUUCGUAUCGGAACGGUAGUCCUCUUCUCAUCUGACGAAGAUGGCAAGAAAACGCUUUCUUCAUUUGGCCGUACUUAUCAUCUUUAUUCUCACUGCGUGUUGCCUCUCUGGAAACUACGCAUCACAAUCUACCGAGCAAAAAGCUAGCAUUCUGGUAAGCAAAAGGAACGCUCAAAGCUUUUUGGGGAAACCUCGGAGCCGACAUCGACGCAGUGUUUGCGAAGAAAAGAGAGAAUGCUGCGAGGAGGUCGGCGAGGGCAUUCAUUUGGAGGAGCAAGAGGAGUGCAUAGAAGAAACCGGAACACGCCCCACGAAGUAUAACUGCCCUCCGCCUUGCUAUUACGGCCGUUAGAUUGAUGAAACAUUUGAUUUGCAAGGGAGAGGGGGAAAAGGUUGAGUCUGCUAAUGAUGCAUUUUUUACAUAUCCUGUAACUGAAUGAAAUAGACAAAACUGAUAAAUAAAUGUUUACCUAGCAAAGAUCAUUUAUCACCUUACUAGAUACUGUUUUGAAACCUUUUCUGAGAGUGAGAGACAGACAGACAGACAGACAGACAGACAGACAGACAGACAGAGUGAUGUGGGCAUUUGCCACAGUAUAUGUAGCAAAUACGGAGGCUGGGUAUUUUUUUUUAGAUAGAUAGAUAGAUAGAUUCUUUAUUAAAAUACAUCCAGCUCGUAGAGCUCAAUUACGUAUUUGCAUUAAGGUUCUAAUUAAAUAUACAAACUUACAAAUUGAAUAAAGCGGUUUUCAAUUGAGUGUCGAAAGUAAUCAAGCAAUUACUU
Molecule: long non-coding RNA, 820 nt
Organism: Orbicella faveolata
Lineage: Eukaryota; Metazoa; Cnidaria; Anthozoa; Scleractinia; Merulinidae
Source: RefSeq, a predicted model, not a curated record